GACGAACGCUGGCGGCGUGCUUAACACAUGCAAGUCGAACGGAAAGGCCCUGCUUGCAGGGUACUCGAGUGGCGAACGGGUGAGUAACACGUGGGUGAUCUGCCCUGCACUUCGGGAUAAGCUUGGGAAACUGGGUCUAAUACCGGAUAGGAACCAUCUUUAGUGUGGUGGUUGGAAAGUUUUUUCGGUGUAGGAUGAGCUCGCGGCCUAUCAGCUUGUUGGUGGGGUAAUGGCCUACCAAGGCGGCGACGGGUAGCCGGCCUGAGAGGGUGUACGGCCACAUUGGGACUGAGAUACGGCCCAGACUCCUACGGGAGGCAGCAGUGGGGAAUAUUGCACAAUGGGCGCAAGCCUGAUGCAGCGACGCCGCGUGGGGGAUGAAGGCCUUCGGGUUGUAAACUCCUUUCGCUAGGGACGAAGCCUUUUGUGACGGUACCUAGAUAAGAAGCACCGGCUAACUACGUG
Molecule: ribosomal RNA, 465 nt
Filed under: uncultured bacterium
Lineage: Bacteria
Description: partial 16S ribosomal RNA
Rfam family: Bacterial small subunit ribosomal RNA
Source: RNAcentral